CGGCCUCACCUCUCCAGGAGGUCGACAGAACGACAGGACGUUCUCCGAAUGCCAGGAGUCGCAGAGGGCAGAGCAGGAUGAAGAAACCACAGGCGGAGUCUAGGGGAAGCAGUACGGCGUCCCUGCCUCAGGCCUGCCCGGACGGUGUGCGGGUGAGUCUCCCCAAAAGUCGUGCCCCUGUCAAUUCGAGGACAGGUCUGCCUGUGUGCCUGUAGGCUACUCUCUCACCCGAGGGUCGUUCUCACAGAGAGCAGAACCCCGCAGCCUCAGGAGUUGCCUGGGGCGGGCGGGGGGGGAUGUUUGUGUACCACUGCUGUGUGUGUGUGUAGUGUGUGUGUGUCUCACUUUCUUCUCUCUCUCUCUCCCUCUGUUUCUUUCUCUGUGUGUGUGUCCGUGUGAGUGUGUUGUCACGAAUGUGCCCUGUGCGCCAAAGGGCAAUUUCUUGCAUGUCGGCCUGUCUUUGGUGAGCCUCUUUCUGCAUCUCUGCCUGGGUCAUGUGGAGAUGCUUCGGACCCAGAGGAAUUGAAAUCUCAUCCCCAGCCUGAGUGGCAGCUUUUCUAGGAUCAAGACCACACCUCAGCCAAGGACAAAAGCAUCAGAAGAGCUCAUUGUCCUGAGGGAGGGGAGCAGACCGACGUCAAAGAUGGUUUUAAGUCCGCGAGACUCUUCUCUGACAAAUGAAGCCACACCACGACACAGGCUUAAAGAAGAAGCCGGGAACAGGACAUGGCAAGGAUCCCUGUCACUGGAACACUGGCCUUUCUGGACAAGUCACCCGUUUGGCACUCCUCCCCGGGUGCCCGUUGCGGUGGCACUGUGCUGUAUCCUGCCUGGGCUCUGGCCUCUGCUCUGUCCUCCCUCUUGCUGUGUCUCCCGUUUCUGAGGGGUGCAGAUGCUUCUUGGUCUGCCUCAAUGUCUUCAACAAAGAACACUUUCCAGUCCAUCAGGGAGAAACUUCAAGGAGAUCCAUGUCAUGAUUGUUUCCCUCUGCAAACUUGUUUCUGGUGGAUUGGGCACGUGUGAAGAUCCUGGAGCUCUGGGCAUCCAUACCUGUCUCAGACAGGGAAGCUCCCUUGGUCUCCAUGUUUCACCUGAUGGCUGCGUAGUUUCCCUACAAUGAAUGGUAGGCGACCGUGGCUGGCCUUGGCUUCAAGAGAGGCGGUGUCACAUUUCCUCUGCAUUUCCUGUCUCAUUCUUAAGGGACAUCUGCUUCCUCUGCUCCUGGGUGGACUGCCUCCCAGAACUGAAUCUUUUGGCAGCCAAUAAUGUCAGGGAGCCAAAGGGACUGGGCUGGGGCUGGGUGCAUGGGAGGUUGCGUUAGGGCUACCUAGGCGGUGGAGGGAUGGAGGUGGAGUGAUCUUUACAGAAACCUCUCCGCUCCUCCAGCAGGCUCCCCAAAAUGUGGCUUGGACUUACGCACAGGGCCUCUUCUGGUUCCCAGCUGUGCUUUGCUUUUCCUUGGCAUUGUUGGGGAGGUCACCUGUGCCCCCCUUCCACCGGGCACAUGCCUGGACACCAGUGUUCGUCUCGCCAUCGCCCCAUAUGGCCUCGGUGACACACACUCACCCCAUCUGCUCUGGGGGACGCCAGUGCCACGUUUGGUCACAUUGGCUCCACCUCGGACUCACCCCUGUUCUUGUUUGCAUGUCUCCUGGAAAGCGGUGGCGGCACACAGCAGCCCCAGGACUUUGGCAAGCGGGGCAGGCCACUGCACCUCCCAGGGAGGAGGGAGGCAGAGGGCUCAUGUUUCAGUGAAUUUUCAGCUGACACCAUGCCUUCAGGCCCAUGGGAUCUUUCUGUGCCCCAGCGAGGCCCUGCCUGCCUCACCAGAUGAGGUGAGCCCAUCCCUGGUCACCUGGUGGGAUCCAAAAUCGGAUCUGAAGAGGAGUACUGAGACCCCAGCAGGCGCCCUGAACCUCCUCUUCCACUGGUAGAAGUUGGCUCAAGGAGGCCCUGAGGACAGGACUCCUGCGAGUCCGGCCCUAGGGCGCCCGCAGCCCCCACUCCCUCGCCGCCCCCUACUUGAUCCCGGAUUCAGCCACCACCGCGCUGCAGCAGGAGCCCCUACUGCCGCCGCCAUUGUUCGAGGGGGCCUCAGCCUGAGUUCCAGGAGCAGAGCACGAGUCGGCCUAGGCAAUGCGCAUGCCCGAGGCGCGAGAGGAUUAUCCCGUCACAGUGAUUCCCACAGUUGCCUGAGAAACCAGUCCCUGAGGCUUGGCAAAGCAGGAGCCCUCCGUGGCAGUGCUUGGGUGUCCGGGCUCCGAGACUCCGGCCUGACCUCUCCAUGGGGUCGAAAGGACGGUCUCUGGAUGCCAGGAGUCGCGGAGGGCGGACCAGCAUGAGGAAACCAUUGGCGGAAAAUGGCAGAAGCAGUGCGGCAUCCCAGCCUCAACUGCCGGGACGGUGUUCAAGUGAGUCUCCCCAAAAGUCAUGCCCCCCGUGAUCUCGACGACAUGUCUGCUUGUGUGCCCGUGGGCUGCUCUCUCACUUGAGAAUCGUUCUCGCAAAGAGCAGAACCCCGCAGCCUCAGGGGUUGCCUGGGGCUAUGUGUUUCUGUGCCACUGCUCUAUGUCUGUGUGUGUGUGUCUCCCAUUCUCUCUUCUCUCUCUGUCACUCUGUUUCUCUCUCUCUGUCUGUGAGUGUGUGUGCCGGUGUGCGUGUGUGUGUUGAAUGAAUGUGCCCUGUGCAUCAAAAAGCGAUUUCUUGCAUAUCGGCCUGUCUUUGGUGCGCCUCUUGCUGCGUCUCUGCCUGGGACAUGUUGCCGGUUGUCAAUCGGUUUCGCGGCAGUUCCACUUUGGGUUUCUAAAGGCCUCGACGACGUGAGGAGAGGCGUCGGUCCUGGAGGAACUGAAAUUUCAUCUCCAUCCUGAGCGGCCUCUUUUCUAGGAUCAAGACGACCACACUCCAGCCAAGGACAAAAGCCUCACAGGAGCUCACUGUCCUGCAGGAGGGGAGCAGACAAACGUCAAAGAAGAUGGUUCUAUCUCCUCACGGCUCUUCUCUGAAAAAUGAAGCCACACCACGACACAAUCUUCAAGAAGCUGGGAAUGGGACAUGGCAAAAACCCCUGGCCUCUCUGGACAAGUCACCUGUUUGGCACUCCUCCCCUCAGCCUGUGGCGGUGGCACUGUGCUGUAUCCUGCCUGGGCUCUCGCCUCUGCUCUAUCCUCCCUCUUGCUCUGUCUGCCCUGUUUCUGAGGGGCCUAGAUGCUUCUUGUUCUGGUUCAAUGUCUUCAACAAAGAUCACUUCCCAGUCCAACAGGGAGAAAGUGGUGAUCCGUGUCAUGAUUGUUUCUCUCUCCAAACCCGUUUCUGGUGGAUUGGGCAGGUUUGAUGAUCCUGGAGCUCUGGGCAUCCAUACCUGUCUCAGACAGGGAAGCUCCCUUGGUCUCCAUGUUUCAUGGGAUGGCUGCGUGGCUGGCCUUGGCUUCUAGGAAAGGCGGUGUCGCGUUUCCUCUUCACUUCAUGUUUCAUUCUUGAGGGACAUCCUCUUCUGAGCUCCUGGGUGGACUGCCUCCCAGAACUGAAUCUUUUGGCUGCCAUGAAUGUCAGGGAGCCAAAGGGAUUGGGCUGGGGCUGGGUGCAUGGGAGGUUGUGUCGGGGCUACCUAGGCAUUGGAGAGGUGGGGGUGAAGUGAACUUUGCAGAAACCUCUCCGCUCCUCCAGCAGGUGUAGCAAAAUGUGGCUUGGAUUCACGCACAGGCCCUCUCCUGGUUCCCAGGUGUGCUUUGCUUUUCCUUGACGUUGUUGGGGAGGUCACCUGUGCCCCCCUUCCACCAGGCACAUACCUGGACACCAUUGUUCGUCUCGCCAUCGCCCCAUAUGGCCUUGGUGACACACACUCACCCCAUCUGUUCUGGGGGACGCCAGUGCCACGUGUGGUCGCAUUGGCUCCACCUUGGACUCGCCCCUGUUCCUGUUUGCACGUGUACUAGAAAGCGGUGUCUUCUUGCAGGAGCCCCAGGGCUUUGGAAGCGGAACAGGCCACUGCUCCUCCCAGGGGCGAGGGAGGCAGAGGGCUCAUGUGUCAGUGAAUUUUCAGCCGACACCACGCCUUGAGGCUCAUGGAUCUUUCUGUGCCCCAGCGAGGCCCUGCCCGCCUCACAGAUGAGGUGAGCUCAUCCCUGCUUACUUGGUGAGAUCCAAAAUCUGAAGAGGAGUCCUGAGACCCUAGCAGGCGCCCUGAAGCUCCUCCUCCACCGGUAGAAGUCGGCACAAGGAGGUCUUGAGGACAGGACUCCUGGUGGUCCAGCCCUGGGGCGCCCGCAGUCGCCUCUCUCAACGAAGCCCGCUCCUCGACCUUGGAUCCAGGUGCCCUCCUACCGCCGCGCCGCCGCCAUUAUUUAAAGGGGCCGCAGCCUGACUUCCAGGAGCGGAGCGCGAGUCGGCCUAGCUAAUGCGCAUGCGUGAGGCGCGAACAGAUUCUCGUCACAGUGAUUCCCAUGGUUGCCUAAGAAACCAGUCCCUGAGGCUUGGCAAAGCAGGAGCCCUACAUUGCAGUGCUUGGGUGUCGGGGCCCUGAGGCUCCGGCCUGACCUCUCCAGGGUGUCAACAGGAUGGUCUGCGGAUGCCAAGAGUGGUGGAGGUCCGACCAGGAUGAUGAAGCCACAGGCGGAGUCUGGGGGAAGCAGCUCGGCAUCCCAGCUUCAGGCCUGCCGGGACGGCGUUCGAGUGAGUCUCCCAGAAAGUCGUGCACCCCCGUGACCUCGAGGACAGGUCUGCCUGUGUGCCCGUGGGCUGCUCUCUCACCCGAGAGUCGUUCUUCUGGAGAGCAGAGCCCCGCAGCCUCAGGGGUUGCCUGGGGGGGUGUGCUUCUGUGCCACUGCUAUAUGUCUCUGUGUGUGUGUGUGUGUGUGUGUGUGUGUGUGUGUGUGUGUGUGUGUCUCCCAUUCUCUCUUCCAUCUCUGUCUCUGUUUCUGUCUCUUUCUUACUUUCUUUGUCUGUGCGCCCGUUUGCGUGUGUGUGUGUUGGGACGAAAAUGUCUUGUGCACCGGAGUGCUGUUUCUUUCUUGUAAGCCUGUCUUUGUUGAGCCUCUUUUUGCGUCUUUUACUGGGUCUUGCGGCCCAUUGUCAGUUUUCCCUGCCGUUCCACUUUGCAUUUUGUGAAAGCCUCGGCAACAUGGGGAGCAUCGUGGGUCCCGCAGGAGUUGAAUUCUCCUCCCCAUCCUGAUAGGCCUCUUGUCCAAGAUCAAGACGACCACCCCACACUUAAGCACAUUUUUUAAAGGGGUCGCAGCCUGAUGUUUAGGAGCCGGGCCCAUGUAGACCUGGCUAAUGCACCUUACUCGCCUCUCACUGCCUGUCACUUCGUCCACAGCAGCCCCCGCUCACUAUUUUUUAAAGGGGCCACUGACGGGAUUACAGGAGCCAGGCGCCUGUCGGCCUUGCCAAUGUGCAUGCUCGUGGCGUGUGCAGGUUCUCACGUCUUAAUGAUCCCCUCCAUCGUCUGGGGAAUGGGUCCCUGAGGCUUGCCGAUCACAAUCACUCCGUGGCAGUGCAUCCGUGUCAAAGCUUUUGCCUGACCUCUCAACGUGGUUGACAUGAUUGUCUCUGGAUGCCCGGAUUUGAGGAGGUCACCGACCAGGAUGAAAAAACCUCAUGCAGAGUCACGGAGAAGCAGCGCGGGAUCCCAGCUUCAGGGGACAGAUGGAAUCUCCGGACUCCCAUUUGGAUCUGAUUUUGGAUCCCACCCAUUGAGCAGGAAUGGGGUUACAAUCUGGUGAGGCGGGGAGGGCCUCUCUGGGGCACAGAACGGUCCCACGGACCUCAAGCCAUGGUGUCAGCUUAAAGUUCAUUGACUCAUCAGCCCACUGCCUCCCUUCUCCUUGGACGGAGCAAUGGCCUUCUCUGGUUUCCAAAAUCCAGGGACUCCUGUAUCCUGACACUGCUUUCUGGGACCAGUGCCAACAGGGCCAGGGGUGAGUUUGAGGUGGAGCAAAUGCGACCACACGUGGCACUGGCGUCCCCUAUGAGCAGAUGUAGUGAGCGUGUAUCUCCAAGGUCGUUUGGGGUGAUGUGGAGACUGACAGUGAUGUCCUGGCAUGCGCUCAGGGGGCUAUGGGGACCUUCGGAAGAAAGCCAAGGAAAAGCAAAUCACACCUGGGAACCAGGAGAGGGCCUGUGCCGGAGAACAAGCCCAUUCAGGGAGGCCUACUGGAGGAGGCGAGAGGUUUCUGCAAAGUACCCUUCACCCCCACCCCUCCAUUGAGUAGGUACUUCUCAAGCUGUCUUUCCUUCACCCAGCCAAAACGGAAAAUCGUUCCUGCCUUUUUAGGACAGCAGUGCUGAGCAGCAGGAUUCCCUGAGCUUUGAGACCAGGACGGUGCCCUGGGAGGCCCAGGUCGAAGGGAGGCAGUGAGCUCAUGAAACAGGGAAUUUUCAGCUGACUCCCUCCCCUGGGAUCUCAGCUGUUACUGUGCCCCAGCGACCCCCUUCACACCUCACCAGACUGAAUAACCAGCCCCAUGGGACCCGAUUUCUGCCCAUACCUUCCAAUCCGGAAUCGGAGCAGAAGAGCAGUCCCGAGUGCCCACCUCACGGUCUGAAGCGCCUCCUCCUCCACCGGGAUCCGAACACGAAGUCGGCUUAAGGAGGCCCUGAGGUCAGGACUCUUAGGGUCCUGCGCUGCUUGUCGCAAGCAGCCUCCUCCCCCAAGCCGCCGCCGGUCCAUCUCUAGCAUUUUCCUGGGGCUGCCGCCUGACAGCCCUGACAUUGCAGCGCGCGCGAGCCGACCACGACAAUGCGCAUGCACCAAACGCGAGGCACCAGGGCAAGCUCUGAGCCAGGGCUGGCCUCCCAGGGACCACCACCAUUGCCUGGGCACGGGUCCCAGAGGCUUGGCAGAUCAGGAGCCCUCUGUGGCAGUGUGUAGAGUUGGGCUGAUGUCUCUCCUCUCUGAGGGAUCAGCACGGUGAUCCCACAAUCCUUGGAGACUGGCAGGGCCGAACUAGGCUGAAGAAACGUCAAGCAGGGCCCCAAGAAUGCACCACAGGAUCCCUAAGGAUCCCUAUGAUGUAUCAGGCCUGCCUAGAUAGUUUAGGGGUGAAUCUCCUUGAAAGUCGUCCCCCCGGGAUUUGGACAUACGGCCUGCCUAUGUGCCCGAGGGCUGCUCUCUCCCCGGAGGGGCUUCCUGGCAGAGAGCAGAACCACGCAGCCUCAGGAGCUGCCUGGCUGUGUGUUUCUGUGCGAGUGCUGGAUGUCUCUGUGUGUGUUUCUUUCUGUGUGUGUGUGGUUUCUUGUGAAACAAAUGUGACUCGUGCGCUGGAGCGCGGUUUCUCUCAAGUCCACCUACCUUCUGAUGCUCCUCACUCUGUGGCUCCGCUUGGGCUGCGGGGCCCCACGUCCUUUGUUUUGCUUGUAGUUCCUGAAGCCUCGGAGAAGUGGGGGGCUGGCUCCAACCCACAGGGGUCCAAAUCAUCUCCCCACCCCGGGGAGCCACUCUUCUAGAAAGAAGAUGAGCACAACACACCCAAGAACAGACGCCUCCUAGGGGCCCAUAGUCCUGUGGCACAUCCAGGGCUGGACCCUAGCUGUCCUGUCCUCAGGAUCCCCUUGAGCCCACUUCAAAUUCCGUUGCUGGCAGGGCAGGAGCUUAAGGAUGUCAGAUGGGCACUCAAUCUUCUUUCAGUUCCAUUCCGGGUCAAAAAGAAAUGAUGUGUGUAGAAAUAAGGUGAGACAGGGGUGAGGAUACAGUCUGAUGAGGUGGGGAGGAGGUCCCACAACUACACCAGCAGGACAGGUGCAGAUAGAUGUCAAAGAAGCUGGUUCCAACUCAUUCUCCCCUUCCUCUUCACUGCAUAACCUGUCCACACCAUGGCCUGGUGCUGGUGGAAGAAGACAUGAAUGUGAGGAGAAUAUUUGGACUGCAAACUGUGGCCUUUCUGGCCAGCUUCCAGGUUGGGCCCUCAUUCCCGGAGCCACAUGCGAGUGGGAUGGAUUGAUCCUGCGCGGGCUCUGGCCUCUUCUCUGUCCUCUCUUUUCCUGCCUUCCAUGUUUCUCAUGGGCCUAGGGUUUCCUUGGUCUGGCUCUACAUUCUCUACAACAAACUUUUCCCAGUUAGUUGAGGAUGACCUUUCUGAAGAUCCAUGUCAUGAGUGUUUCCUCCUCAACACCCACAUUUCCUAAUGACUGGGUAGCUGUGAUAAUUCUUGAACCGUGGGUGCUCGUAGCUCCCACCAACAGGGAAACUUUUGGUCCUCCUAUUCCGUCAGAUGACUGCAUGAUUCCCAUAGGAUGAGAGGUAGUCAGCCAUGGCUGGCCUUUGCCUUCUAAUCUAGGCUGUGUUUCAUUUCCUCUGCACAUCCUUUCUUAUUGUUGAGUGAUCUCCCAUUUCUCUAUUCCUGACUGGAACUGCCUCUCAGCACGGAACCAUUGGCUGUUAGGAAUUUCACAGAGCAAAAGGGACUGGCAGUUGACUGGGUGCAGGCCAGGUGGUGAGUAGUGAUCCGGUGUGGGGUUUGGGGUGUUUUGCACUUUGCACCUCUUGGCUCCUCUGGCUGGAAUCCCUGAACGGGGCUUGGACUCUAGCACAGGCCCCUCCUGUGGUCCCAGUUGUGCUUUGCUUGUCCUUCCCUUUCUUGGGGAUCCUCAUUGCCCAUUGGGAGCAUGCCCGGACAUCCUUCUGAGGCUUGGAUUCACCCCAUAUGGCCUUUGAGACACACUCUCAACCUUAUCUGUCCCCAUGGAUUGCCAGUUCCAGGUGUGGCCACCUUGGCUCCACUUUCAGCUUGCCUUUGUCCUCGUUCCCGUUGCUACUGGACAGCAGUGCUGAGGAGAAGCAGGAGCUUCUGGCAGCCAGACAGGCAUGUUUGCUGAGGCACUAGUUUGCAUGACGCUACUGGGACCCCUCGGAGGAUGAUUUUGGUAGUAGGGCCAAGGCCAAACAGGUUAGUAGCCAGGCUCUAUGGGACUUGGGUUGUUUCCAAGUCUGAAGCAAGAUGACUGCUGGGUCUACAACCUAGAUAUGGGUCACUGCUUUCAAAACAACCCUCUUAGGUCUUGGGAUCCACAAGGGUUUCAUAACCUCCUACAUGAAUCCCAAGGCUCCCAGAGAGAGACUUUUGCCAAUGGAUAAGUGCAGAAUUCUUACUAUUGUGGGGGGAUAUGAGCAGGUGACCACAUAUUUCACCAUCUUGCUAACAUCAUCACCAUCUGUUUCCUUUAUUGUAUAAUAAACUAGUAAACCUAAGUGUUUUCCACAGAUCUGUAGCCAUUCUAGCAAAUGAUGCAACUAAUGGAGAGGAUCAUGGGAACUUCUGAUUCAGUCAUUCAGUAAGACGUACAGGUGACAUCUGGACUUGUGAUUGGUGUCUGAAGUGAGAGUAGUCUUGUGGGACUGAGCCCCUGGCCUGUGGGAUCUGACUCUAAAUCUGAUUAGUGUCAGAAUUGAAGUGCAGGAUGCCCAAUUGGUGUGCACAAGGAAAAGCCCCACACAAGUGGUAUGAGAAGUACUGAGAGUGGCAUGAGUAUAGAAGGAAAACCUGCUUUUGCAGAUACAGUGGCAUACAUACAAUCCUUUUGUAUAACCAGGGUUAUACACCAUGACCAAGUAGAAUUUAUUCUUGGAAUGAAACAAUGGUUAAAUAUUUGAAAUCCUAACGUGUAAUAUAUCACAUUAAGAGUGAAGGAAAAACCCCACUUGAUUAUCUCAAUUCACGCAAAAAGUUUCAACCAAUUUCAAAAACCAUUCAUGAUUUUUUAAAAAGUCAUGCAACAAAUUAGGAAUUGAAGGAAACUACGUCAACAUAAUAAAAGUUUUAUGUGAAAAACCCACAGUGGACAGCACACUCGGUGAAAGACUGAAAGCUUUUUCUCCAAGAUCAGGAACAAAGGAAGAAGGCCUGCUGUCACCAUGUUCAUUCAGCAGAGUACUAAAAGUACUAGCUACAGAAAUGUGGCAAAAAAAACAACAACCGGCAUCCAAAUUGAAGACAAUGAAAUGAAUUUUCUGUGUUUGCAGAUGAUAUGAUCUAAUGUGUAAAAAACCCAAAAGACUCCAUAAACAAAAAACAACUAAUAAAAUGAAUUCAGCAGAGUGCCAGGAUGGUCAACACACAGACAAAAAAAAGUUUCAUUUCUAUACAAUUACACUGAAGAACACAAAAAAAAGAGAAAACCAUGCCAUUCACAAUAGCAUCAAAAAGAAUAAACUUCUUCAAAGUUAACCAACAAAUUGAAAGACUUGUCCAAUGAAAACUACAUAUCAUUCCUGAAAAAAAAUUAAAGACAUAAACUGAAAGGCAUCCCCAUGUUCAUGGAUUGGGAAAUUUAAUAUUGUUAAUAUGUCAAUACUAUCUAAAGCCAUCUACAGAUUUCAUGUAAUCCUUCUGAAAUUCUAAUGACAUUUUUUGUAUAAACGGAAAAAUCUAUCCUGAAAUUCAUAUGAAACCUCGUGGGAUUCCAAGUAGGCAAAACAACCCUAAAAACUAGGAAUAAAGCUGGAAAAAUCACACUUUCUGAUUUCAGAACUUACUGCAAAAUGAGAGUAAUCAAAGAGUCCAAUAUUAAUCAAUGCAUAUAUAGCCAGAUGCUUAUCAACAAGGGUGCCAAGAUCAGUCAAUGGGGAUAUGACAGGGUUCUGAACUGUGCUAGGAAAACUGGGUAUCUACAUAAAAAAGAAUAAAGUUGAACUAUUUUUAUUUUUUGUUUGUUUGUUUUUUUGAGACAGAAUCUGUGUCGCCCAGGCUAGAGUGCAGUGGCAUGAUCUUAGCUCACUGCAACUUCUGCCUCCUGGGUUUAAGUAAUUCUCCUGCCUCAGCCUCCUGAGUAGCUGGGAUUAUAGGUGUGCACCACCAUGCCCAGUGAAUUUUUU
RNAcentral lists this long non-coding RNA (10810 nucleotides) under Homo sapiens (human). RNAcentral's name for it is "non-protein coding lnc-ZNF568-1:1". Lineage: Eukaryota; Metazoa; Chordata; Mammalia; Primates; Hominidae. The record is from RNAcentral.